RNAcentral lists this ribosomal RNA (272 nucleotides) under uncultured bacterium. RNAcentral's name for it is "partial small subunit ribosomal RNA". It matches the Rfam family "Bacterial small subunit ribosomal RNA", at positions 27 to 285 of the family's 1533-position model. The record is from RNAcentral.
GGAAUCAACGCUGGCGGCGUGCCUAACACAUGCAAGUCGAACGCGAAAGGGGAGCAAUCCCUGAGUAGAGUGGCAAACGGGUGAGUAACACGUGGGUGACCUGCCUCAGAGUGGGGGAUAACGUCCCGAAAGGGACGCUAAUACCGCAUAACAUCCUGCCUUUGGAAAGGCGGAGAUCAAAGCCGGGGAUCGCAAGACCUGGCGCUUGGAGAGGGGCCCGCGUCUGAUUAGCUAGUUGGUAGGGUAAUGGCCUACCAAGGCAACGAUCAGUA